This 253-nucleotide ribosomal RNA is filed under the name uncultured bacterium. Its description in RNAcentral is "partial 16S ribosomal RNA". It matches the Rfam family "Bacterial small subunit ribosomal RNA", at positions 524 to 776 of the family's 1533-position model. The record is from RNAcentral.
UACGGAGGGGGCUAGCGUUGUUCGGAAUUACUGGGCGUAAAGCGCACGUAGGCGGCUUUGUAAGUUAGAGGUGAAAGCCCGGGGCUCAACUCCGGAAUUGCCUUUAAGACUGCAUCGCUAGAAUUGUGGAGAGGUAAGUGGAAUUCCGAGUGUAGAGGUGAAAUUCGUAGAUAUUCGGAAGAACACCAGUGGCGAAGGCGGCAUCCUGGACCGACACUGACGCUGAGGAGCGAAAGCCAGGGGAGCAAACGGG